RNAcentral lists this ribosomal RNA (481 nucleotides) under Epinephelus bilobatus. Its description in RNAcentral is "partial small subunit ribosomal RNA". It matches the Rfam family "Bacterial small subunit ribosomal RNA", at positions 788 to 1491 of the family's 1533-position model. Lineage: Eukaryota; Metazoa; Chordata; Actinopteri; Perciformes; Serranidae. The record is from RNAcentral.
CACUAUGCUUCGCCCUAAACAUUGAUAGCUUUAUACAACCACUAUCCGCCUGGAAACUACGAGCAACAGCUUAAAACCCAAAGGACUUGGCGGUGCUUUAGACCCACCUAGAGGAGCCUGUUCUAUAACCGAUAAUCCCCGUUUAACCUCACCCUUCCUAGUCAUCCCCGCCUAUAUACCGCCGUCGCCAGCUUACCCCAUGAGGGUCCCCUAGUAAGCACAAUUGGUAGAUCCCAAAACGUCAGGUCGAGGUGUAGCGUAUGGAAGGGGAAGAAAUGGGCUACAUUCCCUAUUACAGCGAAUCACGGAUAAUAAAACUGAAACGUAUAUCUAGAAGGAGGAUUUAGCAGUAAGCAGGAAGCAGAGUGUCCCGCUGAAACCGGCCCUGAAGCGCGCACACACCGCCCGUCACUCUCUCCAAGCACAUCAUUUAUAAUUUAACUUAAAACCUUUACACCAGCAAAGGGGAGGCAAGUCGUAA